This 304-nucleotide RNase P RNA is filed under the name Haemophilus paraphrohaemolyticus HK411. RNAcentral describes it as "Bacterial RNase P class A". It matches the Rfam family "Bacterial RNase P class A", at positions 43 to 351 of the family's 367-position model. Rfam says of the family: Ribonuclease P (RNase P) is a ubiquitous endoribonuclease, found in archaea, bacteria and eukarya as well as chloroplasts and mitochondria. Its best characterised activity is the generation of mature 5'-ends of tRNAs by cleaving the 5'-leader elements of precursor-tRNAs. Lineage: Bacteria; Pseudomonadati; Pseudomonadota; Gammaproteobacteria; Pasteurellales; Pasteurellaceae. The record is from RNAcentral.
GAGGAAAGUCCGAGCUACACAGGGCAGAGUGCCAGAUAACGUCUGGGCGGCGCGAGCCGACGACCAGUGCAACAGAGAGCAGACCGCCAUACUCUGUGUAUAUUUUUUAGAGAUGGUAAGGGUGAAAGGGUGCGGUAAGAGCGCACCGCGUGGGUGGCAACACUUCACGGCAGGGUAAACUCCACUCGUAGCAAGACCAAAUAGGAACUCAAUGGAUGGCCCGUCCAGAGUUCGGGUAGGUUGCUUGAGCAUAACAGCGAUGUUAUGCCUAGAGGAAUGAUUGUCCACGACAGAACUCGGCUUA